Molecule: microRNA, 23 nt
Filed under: Caenorhabditis briggsae
Lineage: Eukaryota; Metazoa; Nematoda; Chromadorea; Rhabditida; Rhabditidae
Description: cbr-miR-73b
Gene: cbr-miR-73b
Source: miRBase by way of RNAcentral
UGGCAAGAUGUUGGCAGUCGCAU